RNAcentral lists this long non-coding RNA (4027 nucleotides) under Ovis aries (sheep). Its description in RNAcentral is "lncRNA (ENSOARG00000025658.1)". Lineage: Eukaryota; Metazoa; Chordata; Mammalia; Artiodactyla; Bovidae. The record is from RNAcentral.
AUGCAUAGUGUUCGGGUGAGAAGGGCUGGGGUUGCUGGCGGUGAACCAGAGACUGCCGGCUCCUUGGAAGGGAGGCUGCGGGUGGUGAUGGAGACUCGGGUGGGGGCGCCCAGUGGAGAACUGGCUCAGGGCUUCAGCCUUUUUUCAGGUGUUCAGGUGGGGCGGGGGGGAACAAGGAACAGCUGCUGUUCUGUCUCUGCCCCAGCAGAUGGUGGUGUCAGCCCGGUCCUCGCUGCCAGCCCGCCCGCUCCGCCCGCGCGGCGUGUCCCCCCACCCCCAGCCUGCAGAUGGCUUAAUCAUGACUCGCCUUUCUCCCCCACCGGUCCCCCCGCCCGGCGCGUCUGGGCUAACGCUGCGAGCGCGGAGCCAGGCAGUCAAGUGUUACUGCGUACAGCAGGUAGCCUGGCAACUGAGAGCAUAAUACCGAGCAGAUGGUGUUCGCACGGCGUGAUGGACAUCACACACGACAGCCCAAGACAAUCCAGGAAUUCCCUGGUGACUCGAGGCCCUCUUUACACAAAACGAGUUCUCUCUCCAUUGCCGUGUAUCUCUGGGGUUAUCUACCCCCUCUAUCCGACUGACACUGAACUGGUUUCUUAUUACCGACUUUGCUUCCAGCCCGAGGGGAGGGAGAUUUCAAGUGGGGGUUGGGGGAGGCUAUGCAAGGAAACGGAAGGGCCGGGAGUUGGGGGGGGUGGGGGGGGAGGUGGCGACCCGAGAGGGGAGGGACAGUGGCGCACCCCAGACCUAGGGGCGGACCAUCUGAGAGGGACAGGGUUCCCCCAUAACCCAGCCUCAAGAAGCCGGUGCGGGGAGGGCGGCGCUGGGGGCGUGCGAGCCUGGGCUUAGUGGCUUCGCCAUCGAAGGGCUUACGAAGAGCCUAAAUGAAAUUUAGGAUUUUACUUAAGAAGCCUCCUGGGGCGUAAUUUAGCCUCUCGACUCGAGCCUCUGUGCUUACAAGCCCUUAGGGGACUGAGAAGUCAGGAGUGGAACCCGUGCGCCCCUGAAGGGCCGAAGAUGCCUCUCCGCGCAGGCGUUCUUAACAAAGAAACCGACCGGGAGGUCCGGGCGCGGGCAGGGGCAGUGCGGGGGGCCGAGGGGACCGGGAGAGCCGCCCAGGGGCCCCCAGGUCCUCGGCCUGAGAGCCGCUACGCAGCGGGUGAGAUCGCUGCGCGCUCCCGGGCGCAUUUCGCCACCCUCUUCCUCGCCGAGCGUCAUUGGGAAGGAAGCGGGUUCUGGAGGAAAUGGGGGGAGACAGGAGGAUUGUUCACGGUAGGGAAAAGUAAAAUUAAUAUAGAAACAAAAAGCAUGUCUCAGAAAACAAAUCUGUGCUUUUCACACACACACUUAAGCGGGUCAAGUAAUUAAAAAAAAGCCCAAAUGGAAUUUUGUCUAGAUUUUAUACGUCACGCCGCUUCUGUGUCCAACCUAUCACCACUCUCGGGGGUGCUUUCUCCUGCAAAGGUACUGGUCAAGUUUUAAGUUUCAGGAAGAGAGAGUCUUUUCAAAGGUGGAAGCUGACUUUUCACGCAGAACACCACACUUGCUGGGAAGUUCAGCAGUUUCGUGUCAGAAUCCGACACCCACUGCGGAGCUGGGUGGACUCCCCGGGGCUCAGGGUGGUGAGCUGGCAUUCUCAGGCUCAGGAGGCCACCUGGCUGCUUGGUCUCUACCCGCACCUCCUCAAAUGGAAAUCAUAUCCAGUAGGAAUCCUCCCUCGACAAAGGAAACUCUGGGGAUGAAUGAGCUAUAGAGAGAAAAUGGCUAAGAAGGUGCUAAAACCUCUUACACUUUCAGUGUAGGGUGGGCUGUUGGGGAACCAUGAUGGGCUAAACCAGGGGUUCUCAAAGUGUGGGUCUAGGACCAGCAUCAUUAGCAUAACCUGGGAGCUCGUUAGAAAUGCAAAUUUUCAGACUCUACUCCAGGUCUCCAGAACAAGAGUCUCUGGGUGCAAUUUAACAUGCCCCAGGAUAACCACAGAGCUUCCCUGGUGGCCCAGAUGUUAAAUAAUCCACCUGCAAUGCAGGAUACCUGAGUUUGAUCCCUGGGUCAGGAAGAUCCCCCAGAGAAGGGAAUGAAUACCCACUCCUACAUUCUUGCCUGGAGAAUCCCAUGGACAGAGGAGCCUGGCCAGCUACAAUCCACGGGGUUGCAAAGAGUCAGACACAACUGAGCGACUGAAAACACACUCCCGUCACCACGAUGCCCCAUAUUUUGAGACUCACUGGGGCAAAUAAUCCUGGUGUAUGAGCACUGACUGCAACCUGGGGUAUCAGCACUGUCUGUGCCCUGAUUAGAUGACAAACCCUGUACUUUCCAAAGCAAGUCAGAGUGCUGAGCUACUUAGGUUUCUAUUGCAAAUUCUUCUGCAGUUGGAACAGAGUUCUCCAAUUUUCAGAGGGCUGUGCAGGCAGUAUAAGCUUAAGAAUUCUGGAAAAAAAAGCCUAUGCUGUGAUUCUUCCAGAAAGGUCAGUGUUCCUGCAGCUCUGCUGUGAAGGCUGAGGAGCAGCCAAGAUCCAGGAAUGGGUGAGGCCAGUUCAACUCCUUUGCUCAGGGAGAAAGCAUCAAAUGCCACUAGGCUUCCUGUCUCCUGGUCUAUAUACAGUAGGAAAGCUAAGAUUUGAGGAAAGCUCCCUCUUCAGACAUGAAAAAGACCCAAAGCAACAAUAGAAGACAACUAGCAUGUAUGGGGUACCUUACUGUAUGACUGUUUUCAUUUGUGUAAUCAAACUCAUUUUGUUGAUUAAAACAAAAAAAAAUCUGAGUCUCUGAGAGGUUAAGUAACUUGCCUGAUGUCCCAUAGUCUUUGGGAUUCUGACUUUUCCACUGACCAGAAUGUGCAUCUGGUCUAAAUUGAGCAGACCACCCAAGAGGGCUCUGGAGUAAAGAGAAAUGGGAAGGAGGGGGUGCGGGAGAGGGAUGGGAAUAGAAGCAAAAGGUAGACACUCUAUUGGGAUCAAAGGAUGAAGCUGAAAGAGCACAAAAAUAUACAUCAUGUUUUAUAUGUUGCCUGAUACCCAAAAUUAGGAUGCCUUUGUGGUAUCAACUUUGACAUUUAAAGAAAGGGCAUAAGAUUAGCCCAUUCAACCAGAAAUGGAAGGAAGAAACAAAAUAAAAUAAAACCUUAGAAUUCUCUUUGAAGUUGAUCAAGUGUCAGGGCAGAAACUUGGUUUCAGGAUGGUGGCUUCUUUUAAAGACUUUCUUUGUCCUUGUCCAGAAUAAUUUUUCACUGUGGUUUGGAGAGUUGCUUGUAAUACAUUCAUAGCAGUGCCCCAAUAGACCCACCCCAUAUAAACACCUCUGUUUCAGCAGAUUACUGAGGAAGUUUGGAUAAAAAAGUUUGUUUUAUGAUGUGGCUGUGUCACCAAGAUGACUGAGUUUUGAGGUAGUUUACCAAUUUAGCAAGCUUAUCAUGUACAGGACAGUAACUUGGGGGUGCAAUGCUAAGUCUGCUUAAAUGGGUGCAGGAAAGUUCUUUGUUCGGCUUUUAAGAAGGAGCAGUGGAGGAACCCAAUAGGCUUGGGUAGAAGCUCCAGGGUCCAGUGACUGGCAUGAUCCUGACCACGUAACACAUAGCUUGUUAUCACUAUUAUUGCUAUGACUUCUUGAUCAUGCAGCUUUAGAAAGUCAGGGUGAAGGAAGUGCUGUGUCUCUGGUUCUAGCUUAAUUCCUAGGAUAAUGAGGUCUAAGACUUUAAACCUGAUUUUCUUUCUAGGUUCUCAGUGAGCAGGAUGGCAUUCCUACUCACACGUUUGACUCUUUAACAAAUACGUGUUUUGCUGAUUUUCACCCUCCCCACAAUCACUGGGAAAAUUUAAAAAUAAUGUCUGAAAGGGGACUUCCCUGGUGGUCCAGUGGCUAAAACUCCAUGUUCUCAAUGCAGGGGGCCUGGGUUCCAUCCAGGGAACUAGAUCCCAUGUGCCACAACUAACAGUUCACGUGCUGCAGCUAAGAUCCUGCCUGUUGCAACAAAGAGCCGGUGCAGCCAGAUAAAUAUUAAAAAAUGUAUUGUCUAAAAGUAUUUUUA